AACGCGAAGAACCUUACCCAGACUUGACAUGUACAGGACGAUAGCAGAAAUGUUAUUUCCCUUCGGGGCCUGUACACAGGUGCUGCAUGGCUGUCGUCAGCUCGUGCCGUGAGGUGUUUGGUUAAGUCCAGCAACGAGCGCAACCCUUAUUACUAGUUGCCAACACGGUAAAGGUGGGAACUCUAGUGAGACUGCCCGGGUUAACCGGGAGGAAGGUGAGGAUGACGUCAAGUCCGCAUGGCCCUUAUGUCUGGGGCUACACACGUGCUACAAUGGUCGGUACAGAAGGCAGCGAAGCCGCGAGGUGGAGCAAAUCCAAAAAGCCGAUCUCAGUUCGGAUUGCAGUCUGCAACUCGACUGCAUGAAGCUGGAAUCGCUAGUAAUCGCGGAUCAGAACGCCGCGGUGAAUACGUUCCCGGGCCUUGUACACACCGCUAGUC
Molecule: ribosomal RNA, 440 nt
Filed under: uncultured bacterium
Lineage: Bacteria
Description: bacterial SSU rRNA
Rfam family: Bacterial small subunit ribosomal RNA
Source: RNAcentral